Molecule: ribosomal RNA, 468 nt
Filed under: uncultured bacterium
Lineage: Bacteria
Description: partial 16S ribosomal RNA
Rfam family: Bacterial small subunit ribosomal RNA
Source: RNAcentral
GACGAACGCUGGCGGCGUGCUUAACACAUGCAAGUCGAACGGAAAGGCCCUGCUUUUGUGGGGUGCUCGAGUGGCGAACGGGUGAGUAACACGUGAGUAACCUGCCCUUGACUUUGGGAUAACUUCAGGAAACUGGGGCUAAUACCGGAUAGGAGCUCCUGCUGCAGGGUGGGGGGUGGAAAGUUUCGGCGGUUGGGGAUGGACUCGCGGCUUAUCAGCUUGUUGGUGGGGUAGUGGCUUACCAAGGCUUUGACGGGUAGCCGGCCUGAGAGGGUGACCGGCCACAUUGGGACUGAGAUACGGCCCAGACUCCUACGGGAGGCAGCAGUGGGGAAUAUUGAACAAUGGGCGGAAGCCUGAUGCAGCAACGCCGCGUGCGGGAUGACGGCCUUCGGGUUGUAACCCGCUUUCGCCUGUGACGAAGCGUGAGUGACGGUAAUGGGUAAAGAAGCACCGGCUAACUACGUG